Molecule: ribosomal RNA, 518 nt
Filed under: Cladosporium tenuissimum
Lineage: Eukaryota; Fungi; Ascomycota; Dothideomycetes; Cladosporiales; Cladosporiaceae
Description: eukaryotic LSU rRNA
Rfam family: 5.8S ribosomal RNA (bases 153-306)
Source: RNAcentral
AUUGUGACCGGUCUACACCGGGAUGUUCAUAACCCUUUGUUGUCCGACUCUGUUGCCUCCGGGGCGACCCUGCCUUCGGGCGGGGGCUCCGGGUGGACACUUCAAACUCUUGCGUAACUUUGCAGUCUGAGUAAACUUAAUUAAUAAAUUAAAACUUUUAACAACGGAUCUCUUGGUUCUGGCAUCGAUGAAGAACGCAGCGAAAUGCGAUAAGUAAUGUGAAUUGCAGAAUUCAGUGAAUCAUCGAAUCUUUGAACGCACAUUGCGCCCCCUGGUAUUCCGGGGGGCAUGCCUGUUCGAGCGUCAUUUCACCACUCAAGCCUCGCUUGGUAUUGGGCAUCGCGGUCCGCCGCGUGCCUCAAAUCGACCGGCUGGGUCUUCUGUCCCCUAAGCGUUGUGGAAACUAUUCGCUAAAGGGUGUUCGGGAGGCUACGCCGUAAAACAACCCCAUUUCUAAGGUUGACCUCGGAUCAGGUAGGGAUACCCGCUGAACUUAAGCAUAUCAAAAGGCGGAGGAA